This 317-nucleotide signal recognition particle RNA is filed under the name Methanobacteriaceae archaeon. RNAcentral describes it as "signal recognition particle sRNA". It matches the Rfam family "Archaeal signal recognition particle RNA". Lineage: Archaea; Methanobacteriati; Methanobacteriota; Methanobacteria; Methanobacteriales; Methanobacteriaceae. The record is from RNAcentral.
AGAUUGGGCUAGACUGGAGGGUCAGGGGUCCUCUGUAAGCGCACAUCCCCUAUACGGCGCGGUCGAAGUUCAAGAGGCGGCAGAUUAACUGGUUGCUGGCCCGGAAUUUCAAUGUAGAAACCUCGUCCCACAGGAUCAGUGGUGGCCGGGUUUUGACUGGAGGGUCAAAAUCAACGUUCUUAACCAGGGGAACGGGUCAGGCCUGGAAAGGAGCAGCUCUACCUUGGACAGCUGAUGCUUGUGGAGCAACGGGGCGGAGUUGAAUUUCUGGAUCACCAGCUUCUGGAAGACCUGUCCACUCUUGAACACGCCCAUCA